This 400-nucleotide ribosomal RNA is filed under the name uncultured bacterium. RNAcentral describes it as "bacterial SSU rRNA". It matches the Rfam family "Bacterial small subunit ribosomal RNA", at positions 356 to 773 of the family's 1533-position model. The record is from RNAcentral.
GGGGAAUCUUGGACAAUGGGCGCAAGCCUGAUCCAGCCAUGCCGCGUGAGUGAAGAAGGCCUUCGGGUUGUAAAGCUCUUUUACCAGGGACGAUAAUGACGGUACCUGGAGAAUAAGCCCCGGCAAACUUCGUGCCAGCAGCCGCGGUAAUACGAAGGGGGCUAGCGUUGUUCGGAAUUACUGGGCGUAAAGCGCACGUAGGCGGAUUGUUAAGUCAGAGGUGAAAUCCCGGAGCUCAACUUCGGAACUGCCUUUGAUACUGGCAAUCUAGAGUCCGGAAGAGGUUAGUGGAAUUCCCAGUGUAGAGGUGAAAUUCGUAGAUAUUGGGAAGAACACCAGUGGCGAAGGCGGCUAACUGGUCCGGUACUGACGCUGAGGUGCGAAAGCGUGGGGAGCAAAC